RNAcentral lists this ribosomal RNA (255 nucleotides) under uncultured Gardnerella sp. Its description in RNAcentral is "partial 16S ribosomal RNA". It matches the Rfam family "Bacterial small subunit ribosomal RNA", at positions 101 to 357 of the family's 1533-position model. The record is from RNAcentral. Lineage: Bacteria; Bacillati; Actinomycetota; Actinomycetes; Bifidobacteriales; Bifidobacteriaceae.
AACGGGUGAGUAAUGCGUGACCAACCUGCCCCAUGCUCCAGAAUAGCUCUUGGAAACGGGUGGUAAUGCUGGAUGCUCCAACUUGACGCAUGUCUUGUUGGGAAAGUGUUUAGUGGCAUGGGAUGGGGUCGCGUCCUAUCAGCUUGUAGGCGGGGUAAUGGCCCACCUAGGCUUCGACGGGUAGCCGGCCUGAGAGGGCGGACGGCCACAUUGGGACUGAGAUACGGCCCAGACUCCUACGGGAGGCAGCAGUCG